Molecule: ribosomal RNA, 497 nt
Filed under: uncultured bacterium
Lineage: Bacteria
Description: partial 16S ribosomal RNA
Rfam family: Bacterial small subunit ribosomal RNA
Source: RNAcentral
GAUGAACGCUGGCGGCGUGCCUAAUACAUGCAAGUCGAGCGAACGGACGAGAAGCUUGCUCCUCUGACGUUAGCGGCGGACGGGUGAGUAACACGUGGAUAACCUACCUAUAAGACUGGGAUAACUUCGGGAAACCGGAGCUAAUACCGGAUAAUAUUUUGAACCGCAUGGUUCAAUAGUGAAAGACGGUCUUGCUGUCACUUAUAGAUGGAUCCGCGCCGCAUUAGCUAGUUGGUAAGGUAACGGCUUACCAAGGCAACGAUGCUUAGCCGACCUGAGAGGGUGAUCGGCCACACUGGAACUGAGACACGGUCCAGACUCGUACGGGAGGCAGCAGUAGGGAAUCUUCCGCAAGGGGGGAAAGCCUGACGGAGCAACGACGCGUGAGUGAUGAAGGUCUUCGGAUCGUAAAACUCUGUUAUUAGGGAAGAACAAAUGUGUAAGUAACUAUGCACGUCUUGACGGUACCUAAUCAGAAAGCCACGGCUAACUACGUG